RNAcentral lists this ribosomal RNA (201 nucleotides) under uncultured bacterium. RNAcentral's name for it is "partial 16S ribosomal RNA". It matches the Rfam family "Bacterial small subunit ribosomal RNA", at positions 524 to 720 of the family's 1533-position model. The record is from RNAcentral.
UACGGGGGGAGCAAGCGUUGUUCGGAUUUACUGGGCGUAAAGGGCGCGUAGGCGGCCAGCACAAGUCAGUUGUGAAAUCUCCGGGCUUAACCCGGAAAGGUCAGCCGAUACUGCGGGGCUAGAGUGCAGGAAGGGGCAACUGGAAUUCUCGGUGGUAGCGGUGAAAUGCGUAGAUAAUCGAGAGGAACACCUGCGGCGAAG